Molecule: ribosomal RNA, 775 nt
Filed under: uncultured Neocallimastigales
Lineage: Eukaryota; Fungi; Neocallimastigomycota; Neocallimastigomycetes; Neocallimastigales
Description: partial large subunit ribosomal RNA
Rfam family: Eukaryotic large subunit ribosomal RNA
Source: RNAcentral
GUACACGCUGUGACUAGCAUAUCAAUAAGCGGAGGAAAAGAAACUAACAAGGAUUCCCCUAGUAACGGCGAGUGAAGCGGGAAGAGCUCAAAUUUGAAAUCUUAAAGGGUUCCCCUUUACGAAUUGUAGUUUAAAGAAGUGUUUUCUGUUGAGGUUUUGGUAAAAGUUCUUUGGAAUAGGACAUCAUAGAGGGUGAGAAUCCCGUAUUUGACCUUUACUUUCAACUUUGUGAUACACUUUCAAAGAGUCGGAUUGUUUGGGAAUGCAGUCCAAAAUGGGUGGUAAAUUUCAUCUAAAGCUAAAUAUUGGCGAGAGACCGAUAGCGAACAAGUACCGUGAGGGAAAGAUGAAAAGAACUUUGAAAAGAGAGUUAAACAGUACGUGAAAUUGUCAAAAGGGAAGCGUUUGACACCAGUGUUGUUUUUCUGAAAAUCAAUUAAAGAACUGUUUAUGCUAAGCUGUUUAGACUUUAUCAGCUAAUCUGUUUAGUUUUGAGCUUUUCUUUAAUGCACUUUUCAGUUAACAAGUCAACAUCAAUUUCUUUUGCUGUAAAAAAGCUUGAGGAAGGUGGCUUGAGAUUCGUCUUAAGUGUUUAUAGCCUCUUGCCUAUGCAGUCGGAGAGAUUGAGGUCUGCAGCGUAGAUCCUUCGGGGCUAAAUGCAUUUGUGCUAAGUUAUAGCAUUUUAUAGACAACUUGUUGACUAUGAUUUGUCUUGUAGCUUACUCGCUUAUGUUAUUUUACCUACGCUUAGGAUGUUGACGCGCGUGUGUGCGUG